Molecule: ribosomal RNA, 1011 nt
Filed under: Triticum aestivum (bread wheat)
Lineage: Eukaryota; Viridiplantae; Streptophyta; Magnoliopsida; Poales; Poaceae
Description: partial small subunit ribosomal RNA
Source: RNAcentral
AUGGAGGCCGAGGACUACGCGGCCGGGUGCUGCUUCUCCCUCAUGUGCCAAGAGGACGGCGCCGACCUCGGCGACGGCUUCGCCGACGACGACGGCGGCAAGCUGCUGUUGAUGUGCAGCGCCGGCGACGACAACGACGGCGAGGAAGACGAGGAGGGGUACAUGGACCACCUGGUGUCCAAGGAGAGCAGCUUCUGCUCCGCCGAUCCGUCGCCUUCCAUGGCGUCCGAGGACUGGUUCCAGUGCGCGCGCCGCGACACCGUCCGGUGGAUCCUUGAGACGCGCGGGCACUUCGGGUUCUCCCACCGCACGGCGUACGUGGCGAUUGCCUACUUUGACCGCUUCUCCCUCCGGCGAUGCGUUGACAGGUCGGUGAUGCCGUGGGCGGCGCGGCUGUUGGCCAUCGCGUGCGUGUCGCUUGCGGCGAAGAUGGAUGAGUGCCAGGCGCCGGCGCUGUCGGAGUUCCGCGCCGACGACGACUACGAUUUCAGCUGCGACUCCAUCCGCCGCAUGGAGAUGCUCGUGCUCUCCACGCUCGACUGGCGGAUGGGCGCGGUCACGCCCUUCGACUACCUCCCCUGCCUCUCCUCCAGGCUCCGGCGAUUCAACGGCGGAGGCCGCGGAGGUGGCGGCGGCCUCAUCGCCGUCAAGGCCGCCGCCCUCAUCUUCUCCGCCGCGGAAGCCGCGAGCGUCCUCGACUACCGGCCGUCCACCGUGGCCGCCGUCGCCGUCUUGGCGGCCACCCACGGCGCGCUCACGAGGGAGCCACUGGAAUCCAAGAUCAGCAGCCUCUCCCCGACCUGCCUCCUCGAGAAGGAGGAUGUAUAUGCCUGCUACACCAUGAUGCUGCGCGAUCCAUCGUCGCCGAGCAAGACGGCCAAGAGAUCGGCGUCCGACCGGGGCGACGCCGAUAGUACAUACGCACGCCUGGACGCCGCCUCCUUCUCCGUCGCGGCGGCGAUGAACAACAACAAGAGGGUGAGGCUGGAGCUGCCGGCCGUCCACCGGUGA